AUACUUACCUGGACGGGGUCAAUAGUUGAUCAUGUAGGACUAUGGUCUAGGGUAAUGACCACCAUUGCACUUAGGAGGGGUGUUAUCUUAAGGUCUACCUAAGUGGUGGAGCCUAUGUCAUAAUUUGUGGCAGUGGGGGUUUGCGUUCUCGCAGCCCCUAU
Lupinus albus (white lupine) is the source of this 161-nucleotide non-coding RNA. Lineage: Eukaryota; Viridiplantae; Streptophyta; Magnoliopsida; Fabales; Fabaceae. The record is from the annotation of a GenBank genome assembly.